Molecule: long non-coding RNA, 1022 nt
Filed under: Callithrix jacchus (white-tufted-ear marmoset)
Lineage: Eukaryota; Metazoa; Chordata; Mammalia; Primates; Cebidae
Description: lncRNA (ENSCJAG00000071902.1)
Source: RNAcentral
AGUAGGAACUCUCAUUAUUUCCAUUUUAUAAAUAAGGAAGCUGAGGCACAGACUAGUUAGAUAAUUUGCCACAUAAACCUAUAGCUAGGAUUCAAACCCACGCUGUGAAGGUGAGUAGAAAUCCAGAUUGUCUGGCUUCAGAGUCCACAUUUAAAACUACUCUAUUACCAGCCUCCCCAAAGUCCUGCUAGCUAGUAAACCACGUCCCCUCUCCUCCUCCUUCUUCUUCUUAAAAACAAAACAAACAAAAAAAGUGUGAACAAUAUUGGUUAACUUCGGCAAUCUUUUCUCUUUCAUUUGUUUUUUUCCUCUCUUUCUCAUCAGAAAAGGGCUCUGGUAGUAUAGUAAACAGGGUGCUAAAUAUAGAUAUUAAGUCAUUUAAUCAUUUUGGGGUGACCAGACUUACCCUUUCUAUAACUUAAUUCAAAUCUUCAAAGAGUUAGAGUUUGUCCAAAUGAUAGGCUGGGAGUAACUUCAGAAUUUUUCUACUUUAUUAUACCUUCAUUCUAGCCAUUGUAUAUUCUGUUACUUCUCCUAGGAUUAAUUCUGAAAAAGCUUUUUUUCCCCUUAAGUUCAUGGUUACUAGUCUUGAAAUUCUCAGCAGAAGACACAGACAUAAAAAGAAAUAAUUAUAAUAAUAUAGUUUAUUAAGUUGCAGAUUAGAAUUAUGAGAGCUUAGUCUAAGAAAUACCUGCCCUGGCCGGGCACGGUGUCUCACGCCUAUAAUCCCAGCACUUUGGGAGGCCGAGGUGGGUGGAUCACGAGGUCAAGAGAUUGAGGCCAUCCUGGUCAACAUGGUGAAACCCUGUCUCUACUGAAAAUACAAAAAUUAGCUGGGCAUGGUGGCGCGUGUCUGUAGUCCCAGCUACUCGGGAAGCUGAGGCAGGAGAAUUGUUUGAACCGAGGAGGAGGCGGUUGCAGUGAGCCAAGAUCGUGCCAUUGCACUCCAGCCUGGGUAACAAGAGCGAAACUCCAGCCUGGGUAACAGGAGUGAAACUCCAUCUCAAAAAAAAAAAAAAUAC